Molecule: ribosomal RNA, 490 nt
Filed under: uncultured bacterium
Lineage: Bacteria
Description: partial 16S ribosomal RNA
Rfam family: Bacterial small subunit ribosomal RNA
Source: RNAcentral
AUUGAACGCUGGCGGCAGGCCUAACGCAUGCAAGUCGAACGGUAACAGGAAGCAGCUUGCUGCUUUGCUGACGAGUGGCGGACGGGUGAGUAAUGUCUGGGAAACUGCCUGAUGGAGGGGGAUAACUACUGGAAACGGUAGCUAAUACCGCAUAAUGUCGCAAGACCAAAGAGGGGGACCUUCGGGCCUCUUGCCAUCGGAUGUGCCCAGAUGGGAUUAGCUAGUAGGUGGGGUAAAGGCUCACCUAGGCGACGAUCCCUAGCUGGUCUGAGAGGAUGACCAGCCACACUGGAACUGAGACACGGUCCAGACUCCUACGGGAGGCAGCAGUGGGGAAUAUUGCACAAUGGGCGCAAGCCUGAUGCAGCCAUGCCGCGUGUAUGAAGAAGGCCUUCGGGUUGUAAAGUACUUUCAGCGGGGAGGAAGGGAGUAAAGUUAAUACCUUUGCUCAUUGACGUUACCCGCAGAAGAAGCACCGGCUAACUCCGUG